This is a long non-coding RNA of Vombatus ursinus (common wombat), 505 nucleotides long. RefSeq lists it as uncharacterized. The record is from RefSeq and is a predicted model, not a curated record. The transcript is spliced from 4 exons. NCBI's taxonomy places the organism in Eukaryota, Metazoa, Chordata, Mammalia, Diprotodontia, Vombatidae.
UUAGGCUGAUGGAGGUUGCCCUUUCUAGAGAAAGCUAAUAAAGAAAUCUCUCUCUUUGCUACAUCUGAGUCUCCAGAAUUUAUUGGUAAGGGUCUUCACGUCCCACACAACUUCAACAGCUCCCCAAACACCGAACUAGCUUUGGCAAUGCAUGUGUUAACCUAAUCAUCUACGUGUACAUCCCUGGAAAGUAUAUUGCCAUGGCAUCUGACAACAUUACUGAAAACAUCAUACUAAAAAGCAUGGGAGCGAGCACAAAAGAAGAACAUGCCAGCUAAGACUAAGAGACCAUCACAGUCCAGUGGAUCAAUACAUCAAACAGGCCCAGCAGUGAUGCUGCAGCCAAUAAAGAACAGGCCAAGAAGCAGCCAUAACAUUACCUGGCCCCUCCCUACAUAUUCCUCAUAUAAAUUACCUGUUUGCUGGAAAGACUUCAUAAACUGAAGCAAGUAGAACCAGGAGAACAUUAUACAUAGUAACAGCAUCAUUGUGCGAUGACCAACUU